Molecule: ribosomal RNA, 468 nt
Filed under: uncultured bacterium
Lineage: Bacteria
Description: partial 16S ribosomal RNA
Rfam family: Bacterial small subunit ribosomal RNA
Source: RNAcentral
GACGAACGCUGGCGGCGUGCUUAACACAUGCAAGUCGAACGGAAAGGCCCUGCUUUUGUGGGGUGCUCGAGUGGCGAACGGGUGAGUAACACGUGAGUAACCUGCCCUUGACUUUGGGAUAACUUCAGGAAACUGGUGCUAAUACCGGAUAGGAGCUCCUGCUGCAUGGUGGGGGUUGGAAAGUUUCGGCGGUUGGGGAUGGACUCGCGUCUUAGCAGCUUGUUGGUGGGGUAGUGGCUUACCAAGGCUUUGACGGGUAGCCGGGUUGAGAGGGUGACCAGCCACAUUGGGCCUGAGGUAGGGCCCAGACUCCUACGGGAGGCAGCAGUGGCGAAUAUUGCACAAUGGGCGGAAGCCUGAUGCAGCAACGCCGCGUGCGAGAUGACGGCAUUCGGGUUGUAAACCGCUUUCGCCUGUGACGAAGCGUGAGUGACGGUAAUGGGUAAAGAAGCACCGGCUAACUACGUG